ACUUGCACAAGUCACAAAGCUAGUUCAUGACAGAGCUAGAAUUGGAAUCUUGGCCAGGUAAUUCCAGAUCUUUCACUCUUAACCAUUCUAUAGAAUCAGCACCCAUCUUUGAGUCAGAGUUUGAGAUGCAAAUCCUUUACUGCAUAGCCUUGGUCAAAUGACUUCACCUCAUUGAAUUAAUUUUCUUCUGCAUAAAAUGGGGUCACCAUCUGCUUAUCUAAAUUGUUACAAAUGGGACAGUAUAUGUGCCAUUCCAUAUACCUAAUCACAGCUCAAUCGAUGCUGGUGUCUUUUUCCUUUUUCCUUCUGCAGAAAACAUGCUUUACAUAGGAUCUCUGAACUUAAAGAAUAGGAAGAAGAAAAAUCAUGUUUCCAGCUUGGGCUGCUGUUUCAUCUGUUGGACUUGCUUAAAAUGUAUGGGUUUGUUUACCCUUCCUGCAGGCAUCCAACCUGGCCUUUUAUUCCUGCUCAAGUAGGACAUGCAGCCUGCUGGGGACCCGUGGCUCUAAUCCUCCAUCUGCAGGACUGCCGGCCCUGGGACUCAUGAAUAAUGGAAGUGCAGUACCCACUCCUUACAGCCCAGACGACUUUCCAGGAGCAGGCUGUACCCUGAAAGUAACCAAGGAACAAGGGACAAGGAGACAGAGAGAGAUGGGGAAAUGAUCCCUGAAUGGAAAGGAAUGCUACGCACACUUUUUGGAUACAGAAAGUGAGAUUCAGAGAGGUUAAACAACUUUCCUAAAGCCACACAGCGAGAGAGUCGAUCUGAACUGAAGAUUGUUUGACAUCAAAGCUCAUUUCUUUCCCUAAAUGUCAGCAUUCUUUCCUGACUUAUUAAUUUGAUUUCUGCCCUCCCCUCAUGGAAGUUAAUUAAAGGAAUGCGAGAAACUUUUAGAA
This 897-nucleotide long non-coding RNA is filed under the name Pongo abelii (Sumatran orangutan). RNAcentral describes it as "lincRNA". The record is from RNAcentral. Lineage: Eukaryota; Metazoa; Chordata; Mammalia; Primates; Hominidae.